Molecule: long non-coding RNA, 222 nt
Filed under: Elaeis guineensis (African oil palm)
Lineage: Eukaryota; Viridiplantae; Streptophyta; Magnoliopsida; Arecales; Arecaceae
Description: long non-coding RNA (EGUI_LNC023888)
Source: RNAcentral
CCCCGAUAUAUAUAGUGGAGCGUAGUAUGGCGCCGUCAUUAAUGGCGCAGACAAUUGAAGAAUUGUCAACUCACUGUAGACUGUCAGAGUCGCCGUGAAAGUGUCACAUCGCUUGGGGCAGUCAAAUCACUAGGGUUGACAAUGCCCUAGGCGGGAUAAUGCCCUUAGGCGGCAGUGCCGCAUGCUGCUGUCAGGACUGACAGUCUCUGGCAGUAGUACGAC